GCUGGGUGUGGGGGUGCAUGCCUGUAAUCCUAGCAACUGGGAAGGCUGAGGCAGGAAGGUCCCAAGUUGAAGGCCAGUGUUGGCAACAUAGUGAGACUCUUAGCAAAUCAGUGAGAUCUUGUCUCAA
This 127-nucleotide small RNA is filed under the name Marmota monax (woodchuck). Lineage: Eukaryota; Metazoa; Chordata; Mammalia; Rodentia; Sciuridae. The record is from RNAcentral.